AAUAGAUACCCCGGUAGUCCACGCCGUAAACGAUGAGUGCUAAGUGUUAGAGGGUUUCCGCCCUUUAGUGCUGCAGCUAACGCAUUAAGCACUCCGCCUGGGGAGUACGGUCGCAAGACUAAAACAUAAAGGAAUUGACGGGGACCCGCACAAGCGGUGGAUUGUGUUCCUUAAUUCGAUGAUAAACGAAGAACCUUACCAGGGUUUAACAUCCCAAGAAUUAUGCCGAAAGGCGUGAGUGCUUUAUUGAACUUGGUGACAGGUGAUGCAUGGCCGUCGUCAGCUCGUGUCGUGAGAUGUUUGGUUAAGUCCAUCAACGAGCGCAACCCUUGUGAAUAGUUGAAUUUUUCUAUUCAGACUGCCCCGGCAACGGGGAGGAAGGAGGGGAUGAUGUCAGGUCAGUAUUUCCCUUACAUCCUGGGCUAGAAACGCAAUACAAUGGUUAGUACAAUGCGCAGCGAAGCCGCGAGGUGAAGCAAAUCGCAUCAAAGCUAAUCCCAGUUCGGAUAAGAGGCUGAAACUCGCCUCUUUGAAGUCGG
RNAcentral lists this ribosomal RNA (539 nucleotides) under uncultured bacterium. RNAcentral's name for it is "bacterial SSU rRNA". It matches the Rfam family "Bacterial small subunit ribosomal RNA", at positions 777 to 1329 of the family's 1533-position model. The record is from RNAcentral.